This 930-nucleotide long non-coding RNA is filed under the name Malus domestica (apple). Its description in RNAcentral is "long non-coding RNA (MDOM_LNC013590)". The record is from RNAcentral. Lineage: Eukaryota; Viridiplantae; Streptophyta; Magnoliopsida; Rosales; Rosaceae.
UUAGAGUAUAGGUUGUACAUUUCAUCACCCGGUUGGUGGCAUGAAGAAGAGUACGGGUUGUACAUUUCAUCACCUGGUUGGUGAGAAUAAGGGCAAGGUGUCGAGGCACAUGGUAGCAAGUGUCGAACGACACAAAGUAUGUUGAACCCUUUCGAAGCACAAUUGGCUUAUGUAUGAAUGUGUUGGAAUGUAUGAUUGAACGAAUAUACUGUGAAGCUGUUCAUUUAUUUAUAUAGUCUUGUUGACAUAUACUUAGACUUUGUUUCAUGUUGGAAACAUUCAUGUUGAAGCUUUGAACCCGAGUGUUUCAUUGCUAGGAAUGUAAGAGGAUUAGGACAGAGUUGUCUAAAUCACCUCUUUAUUGAAUUCAUGCCAAAUAGUCUUCGUUACAUAGGAUGUCGAACGGUUGAAGCUUAACACUUGUACAAUGUGAGUUUACUUGUAAUAGUACUUCAAGUGAUCAGCGUUCCAUAGAUGGCCAAGGGUCUUGCCAUCAGAGCUUCUAAGCUUGUAGGAGCCAGUGCGACUGAUGCCAACAACUUCAAAUGGUCCAUCCCAGUUUGGACUAAGUGUUGCUUCACUCGGGACUUUGUCUCAGAGUAAUCUUUUCUUCAAUACCCAGUCCCCCACUUUGAAAGAAUGAGGUUUGACCCUUGAGUCAUAGUAGUUGGAGAUGUGCUGCUUGUAGGCGAUAUUCCUCAAGUGAGCCUGGUUUUUGUGUUCCUCGACUAGAUCUAAGUUGAGGGUAAGUUGUUUGUCAUUUUCACUUUUCACGUAGUUCUGGACUCGGAAUGUUGCUUGCUCAAGCUCAACUAGGACAACUACCUCUGUACCAAAGGCAAGUGAGAAUGAGGUUUCUCUUGUUGAUGUCCGAUACGAAGUAUGGUAUGAUCAAAGAACUUGGGGUACAAAUUCUGGCCAACAACCUUU